RNAcentral lists this ribosomal RNA (704 nucleotides) under Stenotrophomonas sp. Its description in RNAcentral is "bacterial SSU rRNA". It matches the Rfam family "Bacterial small subunit ribosomal RNA", at positions 38 to 729 of the family's 1533-position model. The record is from RNAcentral. Lineage: Bacteria; Pseudomonadati; Pseudomonadota; Gammaproteobacteria; Lysobacterales; Lysobacteraceae.
GGCGGUAGGCCUAACACAUGCAAGUCGAACGGCAGCACAGUAAGAGCUUGCUCUUAUGGGUGGCGAGUGGCGGACGGGUGAGGAAUACAUCGGAAUCUACCUUUUCGUGGGGGAUAACGUAGGGAAACUUACGCUAAUACCGCAUACGACCUUCGGGUGAAAGCAGGGGACCUUCGGGCCUUGCGCGGAUAGAUGAGCCGAUGUCGGAUUAGCUAGUUGGCGGGGUAAAGGCCCACCAAGGCGACGAUCCGUAGCUGGUCUGAGAGGAUGAUCAGCCACACUGGAACUGAGACACGGUCCAGACUCCUACGGGAGGCAGCAGUGGGGAAUAUUGGACAAUGGGCGCAAGCCUGAUCCAGCCAUACCGCGUGGGUGAAGAAGGCCUUCGGGUUGUAAAGCCCUUUUGUUGGGAAAGAAAAGCAGUCGAUUAAUACUCGGUUGUUCUGACGGUACCCAAAGAAUAAGCACCGGCUAACUUCGUGCCAGCAGCCGCGGUAAUACGAAGGGUGCAAGCGUUACUCGGAAUUACUGGGCGUAAAGCGUGCGUAGGUGGUUGUUUAAGUCUGUUGUGAAAGCCCUGGGCUCAACCUGGGAAUUGCAGUGGAUACUGGACGACUAGAGUGUGGUAGAGGGUAGUGGAAUUCCCGGUGUAGCAGUGAAAUGCGUAGAGAUCGGGAGGAACAUCCAUGGCGAAGGCAGCUACC